RNAcentral lists this long non-coding RNA (2727 nucleotides) under Bemisia tabaci. Its description in RNAcentral is "lncRNA ENSSSA1NGG000283". Lineage: Eukaryota; Metazoa; Arthropoda; Insecta; Hemiptera; Aleyrodidae. The record is from RNAcentral.
AUGACAACCCCAGGAGAAGAGGCUAAUACGUGUUCAGGUAAGAAUCAGUUUACUUCAACAUCAAAAUAUUUACUAAAAUCCAGGAAGCAUUGCAAGUUGAGACGCACCUUUCUUUAUGAGCACGUUCAACUGUACAGUGAUGAAAGUAUCUUUACUGCGGAUUCAUCGAAGGAAUGUUAUUUCUCACUGCAAGUCAAAUCAUUGCAUAGAAAAACAAGCAGGAAGCUCCAACGCAUUGGCGUCGGAGAGCGGCUCUGGGGGCAGUAGUUGUAGUCAAGAAUGAGGGCCUAGACACAUUUUGUCAUUGAUGUACAAUCCGACAACUGUCGAUUCAUGUUUUGUAACUUAGCAGAUUUACGUAGCCGGUGUAUAAAUGUGUAUUGGGCUUUGAUAUGGCGAAUACAUGGCAUUAUCACUUGUUGUAUACUUUUAAUUUUGAAAGCUCUUUGGAGGUCCGCUUCCUAAAAAAUCUCUGGUUGAUAAGUCGUUUAGCGAGGCUGCAAAAAAUUUGCAUUUUUAUAUCUGAAAAUGUAGGUAUUGGUUUUUUGUAUAAUUGUUUUUUUGGAUUGCUGGAAAAGUAACGCAUACUUCUAUAAUUUAGGAUUGAGUCAGGGAAAUAUAAGGUUCGUUAAAUAGUAAAUAUUCCUAGUACCGUGUGACACUAUUGUUAACGAAAAGUUUUUGCAACUUGUCAAAGAGGUUGUUGAAUGAUCUUCGAAUAACUUUUGAUGAGCUAGAGGUAAUGGUUCUAUCUGCAGCUCGUGGAAACUGUACGAUAUUGUCCAGAAUCAUCUGAAUUUUUAAAAAGUGUCCGCUUGUUCGAUACCCAAUUUGCUCAAAUGCUCAUUCAUGCAUACAAGGAGAAGCGCAUGAAAGCUUUAGCAGACAUUUUGGAGAUGAAUCAAGAAUUAGAUGAAGAAUUUAUGACUUAAAUCACGGCACCUUAAUCACGGGAUGACCUUAAUUACGGCAACUAUUUAUUGUCCAUGAGAUGCAGAUGGUUCCAUUUCCCUAGCUCAUCAAAAGGUAUUCGAAGAUCAAUUUCAUCAGCCACCUGUACGAACCACGUUUCUAGUGACCCGUACUUGCUUCGCACGUAUGAAACAUACAAUCAGAGAAAACAGAAUUCAUCUUACAAUAAUCAAUAAUCAGUAGGACAUGAAUCCUUGCGAUGUAUAAUACGACAUUAUAAUGCUGCAUUACUAUUGUAAUUCAUUUUAAUGGAUUAGGGGCAUUAUAAAUCAUUAUUGCCACGUCGGAAUGAAAUGUUGUAGACUGAAUUGAAAAGCAUGUUGGCAAAAUUUAUUAUAAAAAUAGUAUAACAUGUAGGUACAUAACAUAAAGGUAAUACAAAUUAAAUGAUUAGAGCGUGUAUAUUUCAUUACAUUAUAUGUAUAUUACAAUCAUUUUUGUCAUUGUUGGAAAUUUUGAUAGUUUGAAAUUUGAUAGUUGAUAUUUGAUAGUUUGAUAGUUGAAAAUUUGGUUAUUUUAUUUAGUUAAGGUGAUUCGAUAGACGCCAUAUUUUGUGUCAGAAUGGCAUGCGACAUAUCCCAUCAAUUGGUUCCAUUUUUUCAUUUACUCAUCAUUUUUCUCCAAUUUUAAGUUUCGCAAUUCUGUUUUCAGGAGACUAAAGCACUCACUUAUCAAUUUGUAUAUUUAUAUUGAGUUAAGGGUAGAGACGUAUUCCUCACCGGAAUUGAUGUCGAAAUUUCGACAUCAGCGACGAUCAACGCUACGAUACUGGAAGCCAGUCUUCCGAUAUUAAAUCCCUAGCGGGGAAGAAAAAAAAUGCCUAGAUUUCGCUAAAAAUCCCUAAAUCCCCAGAUUUGCUCAAAUAUACUUAAAAAAUCCCUAGAUUUUGCAAAAAGCGCCAUUUUUAACGAAGAAUCAUGAUGUCAUUCGAUGUAGCGAUUUGCAAUAUUUAAAUCUGAUUGGCUCGUUUGAAUUUUGGCGCUCUCUGAAAGCAGUGCUAAUCCAGACCAAUAAAAUAAAAGAAUAUUAGUUGAUUUCUUAUUAUUAACAGGUUGAAUUCAGUUGAAUGUCAAGUACAUCGAAGGACGCAAUCGUUUUAAUUUCCGGCUUAUUUGCGGGGAAAAUAGUGUUGCCAAAAAGGCCUUCAAAAUAUAGAUGAAAAAAUGUUUUCGAUUGUCGAAGCUAGAAUUGAGGUUAAAAAGUUAAUUUUUGGUAACUUUACCUCAUCAAAAAAAAAUCCCUAGAUUUCCUGAAAAAUCCCUAAAUCCCUGGAAAUUCCGGAAAAUUCCUAAAUCUAGGGAUAAACCCUUAGACAUCGGAUGGCUGUUGGAAGCAUUAGAGUCAACAUUUGAAACGCUGCUGCAGAAUUUGCCGGGAGUAUAAUCGAGUGUUGAAAGUCAGUAGAAUUGAACAAUGUAAUAAUUGCUUUCCGAAAUUAGCGUUAUAAUAAAAAAACCACGAAUCUGAACUGUAAAUACUGGAACACACCUUCUGUAAAUGUACCUUGCGAGAGAUAAGUAAAAAAAUAGAUGUACUGGAGGAGAAGUGCUUCUCCACAGAGUUUGAAGAAGGAAAAAAAAUGCCCAAAUUUACUUACUUCAGCAUUUUCGGCAAAAUCACUGCAAUUUCCGAACCUUUUUCUGGCCAGGGGCCAAAAUUAAAUGAUUAUGAAGGGCCACUUAGAUGUUGUAGAUAAAAAUAGGACUGUUGAAAAAGUCGCCGUUUUCAAUAAAUAUGUUCCCGGAAUGGAAGACA